Long non-coding RNA from Populus euphratica (Euphrates poplar), 1118 nucleotides. RefSeq lists it as uncharacterized. The record is from RefSeq and is a predicted model, not a curated record. Lineage: Eukaryota; Viridiplantae; Streptophyta; Magnoliopsida; Malpighiales; Salicaceae. The transcript is spliced from 2 exons.
UCCCAAAAUAGGCAGCCAUACACGGAUCUUCAUCUGUUUCUUCUCGUUAGCCCUCUUCCCUUCACCGAAUUGGCUUCUCUCCAAUCUCCACAACAACAAUAAAGAACAAAUUGGUGUUGGAACUUUGAUGUGUUUUUCAAUUUUGUCUUUCGGCACAGUAUGAUCCUUUUAUAAAUUUAUAGUAAGCGAUGAUGAACUGCAUGAUGAACCACUUCUGUCACUCUCUUAUACAAUUUGUUCUUUUUUUUAAGUCUACUAUAGUUUUGAUCUUCUACAUCUCUUUGGCAUGACUCAUGGAUUGGCUCUGCUUAUCUCAAUAAUGCCUUUGUGAAUUCGUUUGCUUUAGCUUAGGACAAGCGUAGCAGAAUUGCAUGUAUGGUGAAUUGGAGUAGCAAUUCAAAGUGGUGGAAACUUAAGUGAAGAAGACUAUUACUGUCUAGGGAAUCAAUUCAAGUGAUCUGACUUUUGAUUUCACCAGUCCAUCUGAAUGAAGAAAAAAGAGAUCUUCUGGUUUGGAGAUAUGAUAGCAAAGGACUUUUCCCAGUUAAGGCCUGCAAUUAUCUCAUGAAUUCUGUUAUGCUCUUUUUUUUGGUUAAAUCUAGCACCUCUAAAGUUGAAGCAUCCACAUGGUUGACAGCGUUAGAUAGACUAAGCACUAGAGACGUUUUUGUUCACAGAGGAAAUCUUUGCUGUCGUGGAGAAUUGUUUCCAUUUUGAAGUCUUCAUAAUGAGACAUUAUCUCAUGUGAUGCUUCGUUGCCGUGGAAUGUGGUUGCUUUGGGAUUGAAUUAUGAGUAGGUGGGGGUGUGGUUUGGAUUAUGCGAUAUUUAGUUGAUGAGUUGUUUCUUGGAAUGGAAGUUUUUGUUACUGGACAAAUGCAAAGAAGCCAACCCACGGGUCAUGCCAGAAAGAUGUUAGGUUUAGUCUCCUGAGGAGCUAAGUUCAUAUCAGGGUAUAAAGCUAGAAAAUGUGGCUUUUUGUGUUAGUAUUAUAUUUGAGCAGAUGCAGUUGCAAGAAGUCAAUGAUGAAGAAUUGAGCUUAACAUGAGAGUUAUUUGUCCAAAAUGUUAAGUGUUUUGGCUCAACUGAUAACAUCCCGUGGGUCAAGUUCAGAAAAAAA